AGAGGCUGCAGGUUUGAGGUCAUAGCAGAAAUGUGCAUGGCACAGCCCUGUCAGAUUCUAGUGAAUCUGCAAAUUCUACU
This 80-nucleotide ribozyme is filed under the name Crocodylus porosus (Australian saltwater crocodile). RNAcentral describes it as "Mammalian CPEB3 ribozyme (ENSCPRG00005014045.1)". It matches the Rfam family "Mammalian CPEB3 ribozyme". From Rfam's summary of the family: The mammalian CPEB3 ribozyme is a self cleaving RNA located in the second intron of the CPEB3 gene which belongs to a family of genes regulating messenger RNA polyadenylation. The record is from RNAcentral. Lineage: Eukaryota; Metazoa; Chordata; Crocodylia; Crocodylidae.